RNAcentral lists this long non-coding RNA (2792 nucleotides) under Sarcophilus harrisii (Tasmanian devil). Its description in RNAcentral is "lncRNA (ENSSHAG00000029590.1)". Lineage: Eukaryota; Metazoa; Chordata; Mammalia; Dasyuromorphia; Dasyuridae. The record is from RNAcentral.
CCAAUGUUAACUCAUAUGACUUACAUCCUCACCUCAACCCUACACCCACAAAGUGUUCUACUUCCAGGAUUAAGGAAGAUGAAAAUUCCUCCCUCAAUUCCAUCUCUCCCUGUAACUCACUCCUCUGAAGCCCACUCCUGAAUCCCAUUCUAGACCUAGCACCUUUCAUAGCUUGCCUGGGUUUCCCCACCAUUCCCCAUCUUUACAACCUUCUAACAUAAUACUAGUGCUAGAAGAAAUAACUUUAACCUACUGACUGGGUCCACUACAAAGUUAGCUGAUUCCAAGUGUAUUCCUACUGCUGAAAAAUAUUCUUCCCUACUUAAGUCUCUGUCAUUAACCACAGAGCCUAUUAAAACCUCUCCUCAAUCCUCCCACAUUACUCUCAAACCCCAUCUCGGCAAAGAAUCCUUUCUCAUACUUACACCAUGAAAAGAAGCCAUUUGCCAUGAUCCCCUUUAACUCCUGCCAUACUUCUUAAAACCUUUUGACAACAUCCUCCAUUCUCUCCUUGACUCCAAUCUCUGAAAAGGCAAUCUCUUUUUAUAAAAUGUCAUUUAGUUAUCAAAGAGCGAAAGAAGGGUCUCUAUUUCACACAAACACAAUCAUGCAAAACAAACUCUCAAAAUACUCAUGUCUUAUCAUAAAAGCCUCUCAGUCAUGAGGGAGCCAGCAUUCUUUAACGGUCUUUUGAAAUUGUGGCUAAUCAGAAUUUUUAACUUCAAAAUUGUUCAUUUUCAUAAUGUAAAAUACAGUGUUCUUCCAGUUCUGCUUAUUUCAAUCUGUGUCUCUUUGAAAACAUCUUUUCCCCUCAUUUCUUACAGCAUAAUAGUAUUCCCAUACAUUCCUUUCCCGCAAUUUCUUCAUCAAUUCUCCAAUUGAGAGCACCCUUUUGACAGUUUUUUGCCAACAGAAAAAGAGCUGCUUUAAAUAUUUUGGUAUAUUUGAGACUUUUCCUCUUUAUCUCUUUGAGAUAUAGGCUUAACACUUUUAUAUCUGGGUCCAAAGACAUGCACUGUUUAGUAACUUUGGGGACCUAAUGCCAAAUUGCUUUCCUGAAUUUAGUUCUCCAACAAUACAUCAAUGUGAAUGGUUUCCCAAGUUCCCCCCACCUCAACAUUCAUUGUUUUCUUUAGGAUCUUUGCCAAGUUGAUGAGUAUAAAAUGAAAACUCAAAAUUUAGUUUGCAUUUCCAUAAUUAGAGAUUUGGAACAUUUUUUUCAUAUCUGUAUAGAUAACAUGACUUUCUUUGCCUGAAAACUGCGUAUUCAUAUCCUUAGACCAUUAAUCUGUUGGGGAAAAUCUUACAAAUUUGUCUUGAAAAUGAGACCUUUCUCAGAGAAACUUGCUGCAAAGAUUUUUCUAGUUGUUUCCCUUCUACUAUUAACUGUAUCGCUUUGGUUUUUUUGCAAAACCCUUUUUAAUUUUAUGUAAUCAAAAUUAUUCAUUUUCUGUGAUCCUUUCUAUCCCUUUUUUGAUUAAGAACUUUUUCCCUGUCCAUAGAUCUAACAGGUAAUGUCUUCCUUUUUCUUUACUGUGGUUAUGAUGUGAUCUUUUAUAACUAUAUCAAACAUCCUUUUGGUGUGAAGUAUUGAUCUAAACUCAAAUUUAUUUCACAGUACAAUCCAGUUCUUCCAGCAAUCUUUUAUCAAACAGUGAGUCCUUGCUCUAGUAUCUGGAGAGCCCUUCUUGCCAGCCUAUUUGUGGUCUUGAUCCCAUCCUCUCUCACCUCCUCCAACAAUUUGUUCUCCAAAUCAUCCACUUUAUUUUCCAUCUUUCCCUAUCUCUCUACUGCCUCCUUUCCAGAUGCCUGCAAAUCCAAGACUCCCCUAUCCUUUAAAAAAAAAAAAUUCAUUUUAUACUACCAUCCUUUUGAGCUACCAUCAUCCUUUAUUUAUUGCUCCUCUCUUUCAUAGUCAAAAUAAGAAUCGAUGUGUGUAUUUAUUUAAACUUUUCUCACAAAUGCAAUUAAGACAACUCUGAAAUACCACUACACUCCUCUCAGAUUGACUAAGAUGACAGGAAAAGAUAAUGAUGAAUAUUGGAGGGGAUGCAGGAAAACUGGGACACCGAUAUAUUGUUGGUGGAAUUGUGAACGCAGCCAACCAUUGUGGAGAGCAAUUUGGAACUAUGCUCAAAAAUUAUCAAAUUGUGCGUACCCUUUGACUCAGCAGUAUUACUACUAGGCUUCUAUCCCAAAGAGAUCUUAAAGGAGAGAAAGGGACCUGUAUGUGCAAGAAUAUUUGUGGCAACCCUCCUUGUAGUGGCAAAAACCUGGAAAGUGAGUGGAUUCCCAUCAAUUGGAGAAUGGCUGAAUAAGUUAUGGUAUAUGAAUGUUAUGGAAUAUUAUUGUUCUAUAAGAAACGACCAGCGGGAUGAUUUUAGAGAGGUCUGGAGAGACUUAGAUGAACUGAUGCUGAGUGAAAUGAGAAGAACCUGGAGAUCAUUAUAUACUUCAACAAUACUAUAUGAGGAUCAAUUCUAAUGCACGUGGUUCUCUUCGGCAAUGAGAGGAUCCAAAUCAGUUCCAACUGAUAAGUAUUGAACAGAACCAGCUAUACCCAGCAAAAGAACACUGGGAAAUUAGUGUGGGCCACAACAUAGCAUUUCCAUUCUUUAUGUUAUUGUUUGCUUGCAUUUUUGUUUUUCUUUUCAUGUUAAUUUUAUCUUCUUUCUAAAUCCAAUUUUUCUUGUACAGCAAAAUAACUAUGGAUAUGUAUACAUAUAUUAUAUUUAACAUAUACUUUUAACAUAUUUAACAUGUAUGGGACUACCUGCCAUCUAGGGGGAGGG